RNAcentral lists this ribosomal RNA (407 nucleotides) under uncultured bacterium. Its description in RNAcentral is "partial 16S ribosomal RNA". It matches the Rfam family "Bacterial small subunit ribosomal RNA", at positions 28 to 526 of the family's 1533-position model. The record is from RNAcentral.
GACGAACGCUGGCGGCGUGCCUAAUACAUGCAAGUAGGACGCAGUUGCGAACGGGUGAGUAAAGCGUAGGUAACUGCCUAUUAGAGGGGGAUAACUAUUGGAAACGAUAGCUAAUACCGCAUACUAGUAGAUGGACCUGCGUUGUAUUAGCUAGUAGGUAGGGUAAUGGCCUACCUAGGCAACGAUACAUAGCCGAACUGAGAGGGUGCUCGGCCACACGGGGACUGAGAAACGGCCCAGACUCCUACGGGAGGCAGCAGGUGGGAAUCUUCUGCAAUGGGGGGAAACCUGAACGAGCAACGCCGCGUGAGUGAAGAAGGUUUUCGGAUCGUAAAGCUCUGUUGUUAAGGAAGCGGUACUUAACCAGAAAGGGACGGCUAACUACGUGCCAGCAGCCGCGGUAAUUC